GUGCAACUCCCUAAGCCUCAUUUAAGGGCUGGCUGCCUGAAGGGAAGGUGUUCUAUCUGGAGAUCCUUCCUUUUGGAGUAUUUGUGGAUUUCUGCAGGUAUAAUCUGGAGGGCUGCUGAGCACUUGCAGCUCAUUGGGAAGUGAUUCAAGGACAUCUUUCACCCAGAAGUCUUGGACCAAGGCCUGACCCAGGGAAUGUAGAUGAAGUUGGAAGCUUUGCACAGGUAAUCACCUUUCAUCAACUUGGAACCACACAUGCAGUGGACAAAUAGGAAAUGCAGCAUCACAGACACUAUGAAUCAUGCAGAUUCUGGCACAUCUGUAUUUAUGACCUUUGGACCAUCUUUGAAUGGAAAAACACCAAAGCAGGUAAAUAGCUGUCACAGUGGAGGCUCUUGCUGUGAAUCAAUGUUUGAAAGACAACCUGAAUGCAGUUCAGUUUUGUACAAACAGAGCCCUUCCAGGAGCAAGUGUUGCCUUUGUGGGAAUAACAGUGACUCUACAGAUCCAAACAAUGGAGCUACAUGCUUUUGCAUUGCUUGUUCUGUCACUAACUGACAUCAGACACUGUUAAUCAUGGUUUGAAAUGUAUAUUUAAGAAACAGUGACACAAACACAGACAAGUUCCUUCAGAAAGCCUUUCAUACAGAGGAAAGUGAAAGAAAAGAAAAACUGCUCCUCGGGCUAGCUGGUGGCAUUGAAAUAAAUGGGUCAGGCAUCAGAGUUUCAGCAGGCACAAAAGGUGAACACCCUGUCUCCUGGAGCAAUUAAAAGUCAAUGGGAUUAGCAGCCUUCACUAUUAUUUAUAGAAACCCCACUGUGUGCACAACAUUACUGAAAUACAAGGGUCAAGUCCCCGGUACUGGAUGCCUACUCUUCUGCUGUUGAAGUUAAUGGGAGCUUUGCCAAUCAACUCUUUGGCAACAGAGUCUAAAUCUAGAAUAGAUGAUAUCCUGUGCUCCAUUCAGUUGAUAGCUCAAGCAAAGCCUUUGCUGAAGCCAAAUAAGUUCUGCCUGCAUGGUACAGACUUCAUCCAGGAACAGGUGAAACAGAAACGCUAUCUAUAGAAGUGCUGAAAGUCAAAGAAAGGAAAGCAGAGAGGUGGAUUGAACGUCACAGGAAGCUUCUUCCUUUCUGUUAUAAAUUGCAGUAUACAGACUGAAAUCUGAUGAGCUGCAACCCAGCAUCUCUUAGGCUUCAGAUUUAGCAGGACUGGCUGUUUUCCAAUGAAUAAUUCUCCUUCUAACACCACGUAAAUGAAUCAUGUGGGAACACACCUAUGAAAAGUACUCAGGUGGGGUGCCUGUACUGUCAUUAUGUGAUUCAACGUGUUCAAAAACAAUGUGCUGAUGUUCUAGCCAGCUUAUACAGAUCUCACCAAACAUUUGCAUCUCCUUUCCUGAGCUUCCCUGCCUUUCCACUUGCUUGUAAUGCUACUUACGUAGUUGCUCCUUAUCACACUCAUGCCUCUAAUUCAGCCUCAAACUACCUCUUAUCCUCUUUAUUUUACUCCAGAAAGAAGAUACCCAAUUCUGCUUUGUCUUACAACACUGUAAAUCAGAAAUCAAGCAUCCCAGUGAUUUCCUGAACUUCUCUGUGCUAUGGAGAAACCAGUCUGUAGAGUAGCAAUGUUUCCUGGCUUAGUUUGUGAUUUCUUUUCAUGUGCUACCAACCAGCAAGCUAAGGAGAGCUUCUAGGUAUGCCUGUAUUUGUAACAGGAGCAGGUUUGAGAUUCUCAUCUGUUAUUUCCAGUGGCACAUGCUAAGGACUGUCCAUUCAGUGGUACUCAGCAUGCAUUGCUACUACAUGGAACCAUCAAGAAUGGUGUGUUCAUCCAGACUGAGGAGCAAGAAUGAGCCAGGAAUUACCAGGUGGGGCUGUUCUGGUACACAGGAGAGAGCUCUCUAUGCAUUUAGGGCCAUCUUAGCUCCAGGCAGGUUCUGACUGUGACAGCAAGUGCCUGCAUUACCUCACAAGCACAUGAAGUCUAAACAUGCAUUGGAGAGGCACAUCUUACUGGCUGUGUGCAAGGAGCUGUUAGCCCUGGGGCUAUAGACCAGCCUUAGGAUCUGCUCCUCUUCAGUUUUCCUGAUCUCAAGAUUGAUAUCAGACCUGAAGAAUGUACUGUACUUUCAGGUGCCUUAUCUUUAAUUAAUUCUGAUGACUGUAGACAUGAUUUGGUACCCACACGGCUUUACAACCAGUAUUAAAUGUAGUUAAGUCCUUUGGCUUGCUAACGUCCUGCAGAAGGGAGCUCCACAGCCCAAUGACAUAUCACAUA
Meleagris gallopavo (turkey) is the source of this 2281-nucleotide non-coding RNA. NCBI's taxonomy places the organism in Eukaryota, Metazoa, Chordata, Aves, Galliformes, Phasianidae. The record is from RefSeq and is a predicted model, not a curated record.